UCCACAACCUAUAAAAUGCCUUAAGAAUUUCAAGAAGAGGGGUAAUCUACUCUCUCCAAGAAGAAUAAGACUCCAAUAUUGUAACAGAAGAAGUAUCAGUUUAGAGGAGGGUAAUCCGCAACCUCUAAAAAAUGCUAGUAUACCUUCAAGUAGAGGGAUAAUCCACACUCUACUAAGAAAGAACUAGCUCUGAUAUCUCAAGUUAGUGUAGUCUUGACAAACUCUCACGGACACUAAAUACAGACUUGAAAUCUAACAAGAAGUUUAAGAAGAAGUGGCAGAACUAGAUUAAAUAGAUGAGUACAAGAACAACACCAGAAAGGUGAGCUAGAACUCCAAG
Molecule: long non-coding RNA, 340 nt
Filed under: Physcomitrium patens
Lineage: Eukaryota; Viridiplantae; Streptophyta; Bryopsida; Funariales; Funariaceae
Description: long non-coding RNA (PPAT_LNC007481)
Source: RNAcentral